This 767-nucleotide ribosomal RNA is filed under the name Triticum aestivum (bread wheat). Its description in RNAcentral is "partial small subunit ribosomal RNA". Lineage: Eukaryota; Viridiplantae; Streptophyta; Magnoliopsida; Poales; Poaceae. The record is from RNAcentral.
CGGGGGCAGCUACCGCGAGAUCCGAGCGGGCGGCGGUAGGACAGCGGCCGGGGCAGCGAGGGGGCGGGACAGCGGCCGGCGCAGUGAGGGGGCGGGGCAGCGGCAGCGAGGGGGCGGGGUAGGGACCGGGAGGGGGCGGGACAGCGGCCGGGGCAGCGAAGGGGUGGAACAGCAGCCGGCGCAGCGAGGGGGCGGGGCAGCGGCCGGGAGGGGGAGCAGGUGCCGGGCGGGGCACCUCAAGGUCCAGGCGCUGCCUAGGCGGAUGCGGCCGCAGAAGGUGUGGCGGAGGGAGCUGCGGCCUAUGCCAUGAACUAACUGGACCCGGACAACGUGGUGAGCUGUAAAUACACUCGAUCCUUAACUGGUUUUCCAAAGCCAACAUACAGGUACACGCUCUUCUUACCGGUCUGGGGAGGCAGCUACGGUCAGUAACGAGGCCGCCCGUGCGCAUUGAGGGCUGUUCGUAGCUGGCUAGGAAGAGGCAGACGGUGACCGCGCUGGCCAGGAUGUGGAUGUGGAUGUGGAUGUGGAAGUACUACUUCUAAACGAAUUCUAGUGCCUUCGAACCCAACUACCUCACGAACAUAAAUCAAAAACAAAACUGGAACACUUUGAACGAUGGAUACCUACUUUGACACAUUAUAACUACUUUGAUACAUAUACAUGCCUACUUUGAACGAUGAUAACCAUUGUACACAACCUAUACAUACACAAGUACUGAUAACCAUUAUACACAACUUAUAAGAUAUAACCAGUAUAUUUAUAUA